GCAGGCUGCAACUCGCCUGCAUGAAGUCGGAAUUGCUAGUAAUCGCAGAUCAGCAUGCUGUGGUGAAUACGUUCCCGGGCCUUGUACACACCGCCCGUCACACCAUGGGAGUCGGUAACACCCAAAGUUGGUAGUCUAACCGCAAGGAGGACGCCGCCUAAGGUGGGAUUGAUGACUGGGGUGAAGUCGUAACAAGGUAUC
This 201-nucleotide ribosomal RNA is filed under the name uncultured bacterium. RNAcentral's name for it is "partial 16S ribosomal RNA". It matches the Rfam family "Bacterial small subunit ribosomal RNA", at positions 1300 to 1500 of the family's 1533-position model. The record is from RNAcentral.